This 835-nucleotide ribosomal RNA is filed under the name uncultured organism. RNAcentral's name for it is "bacterial SSU rRNA". It matches the Rfam family "Bacterial small subunit ribosomal RNA", at positions 366 to 1209 of the family's 1533-position model. The record is from RNAcentral.
GCGCAAUGGGCGAAAGCCUGACGCAGCAACACCGCGUGUGGGAUGAAGCUUUUCGGAGUGUAAACCACUGUCAGAGGGGACGAAAUCUGACGGUACCCUCAGAGGAAGCAUCGGCUAACUACGUGCCAGCAGCCGCGGUAAGACGUAGGAUGCAAGCGUUGUCCGGAAUCAUUGGGCGUAAAGCGUUCGUAGGCGGCCUGUCAAGUCUGAUGUUAAAGCCCAGGACUCAAUCCUGGUCCAGCAUUGGAUACUGACAAGCUAGAGUACAGGAGAGGCAAGGGGAAUUCCUAGUGUAGCGGUGAAAUGCGUAGAUAUCAGGAGGAACACCGGUGGCGAAAGCGCCUUGCUGGACUGAGACUGACGCUGAGGGACGAAAGCCAGGGGAGCAAAUGGGAUUAGAUACCCCAGUAGUCCUGGCUGUAAACGAUGGAUACUAGGUGUUGCGGGUAUCGACCCCUGCAGUGCCGCAGCUAACGCGAUAAGUAUCCCGCCUGGGGAGUACGCACGCAAGUGUGAAACUCAAAGGAAUUGACGGGGACCCGCACAAGCGGUGGAACAUGUGGUUUAAUUCGAAGCAACGCGAAGAACCUUACCAGGACUUGACAUCUGGCGAAUCCUGCAGAAAUGCGGGAGUGCCUUCGGGAGCGCCAAGACAGGUGGUGCACGGUUGUCGUCAGCUCGUGUCGUGAGAUGUUGGGUUAAGUCCCGCAACGAGCGCAACCCUCGUUGUUAGUUGCCAAUAACGGCAUGCUGUUAUUGUGCUCUCUAGCGAGACUGCCGGUGAUAAACCGGAGGAAGGUGGGGAUGACGUCAAAUCAUCAUGCCCCUUAUGUCC